This 447-nucleotide ribosomal RNA is filed under the name uncultured bacterium. RNAcentral's name for it is "bacterial SSU rRNA". It matches the Rfam family "Bacterial small subunit ribosomal RNA", at positions 355 to 825 of the family's 1533-position model. The record is from RNAcentral.
UGGGGAAUAUUGGACAAUGGGCGCAAGCCUGAUCCAGCCAUGCCGCGUGAGUGAAGAAGGCCUUCGGGUUGUAAAGCUCUUUUACCAGGGACGAUAAUGACGGUACCUGGAGAAUAAGCCCCGGCAAACUUCGUGCCAGCAGCCGCGGUAAUACGAAGGGGGCUAGCGUUGUUCGGAAUUACUGGGCGUAAAGCGCACGUAGGCGGAUUGUUAAGUCAGAGGUGAAAUCCCGGAGCUCAACUUCGGAACUGCCUUUGAUACUGGCAAUCUAGAGUCCGGAAGAGGUUAGUGGAAUUCCCAGUGUAGAGGUGAAAUUCGUAGAUAUUGGGUGGAACACCAGUGGCGAAGGCGACUCGCUGGACUGAUACUGACGCUGAGGUGCGAAAGCGUGGGGAGCAAACAGGAUUAGAUACCCUAGUAGUCCCUGAGCGGGCUGGCAAGGCGCAU